CCUACGGGAGGCAGCAGUGAGGAAUAUUGGUCAAUGGACGAGAGUCUGAACCAGCCAAGUAGCGUGAAGGAUGACUGCCCUAUGGGUUGUAAACUUCUUUUAUAUGGGAAUAAAAUGUUCCACGUGUGGGAAUUAGUAUGUACCAUAUGAAUAAGGAUCGGCUAACUCCGUGCCAGCAGCCGCGGUAAUACGGAGGAUCCGAGCGUUAUCCGGAUUUAUUGGGUUUAAAGGGAGCGUAGGUGGAUUGUUAAGUCAGCGUUAAAAUCGCGGGGCUCAACCGCGCUCCGCCGUUGAAACUGGGUUUCUUGAGUGGGCGAGAAGUAUGCGGAAUGCGUGGUGUAGCGGUGAAAUGCAUAGAUAUCACGCAGAACUCCGAUUGCGAAGGCAGCAUACCGGCGCCCAACUGACGCUGAAGCACGAAAGCGUGGGUAUCGAACAGGAUUAGAUACCCUUGUAGUC
This 459-nucleotide ribosomal RNA is filed under the name uncultured bacterium. RNAcentral's name for it is "partial 16S ribosomal RNA". It matches the Rfam family "Bacterial small subunit ribosomal RNA", at positions 338 to 795 of the family's 1533-position model. The record is from RNAcentral.